This 306-nucleotide ribosomal RNA is filed under the name Staphylococcus aureus subsp. aureus IS-125. RNAcentral's name for it is "partial 16S ribosomal RNA". It matches the Rfam family "Bacterial small subunit ribosomal RNA", at positions 1 to 295 of the family's 1533-position model. Lineage: Bacteria; Bacillati; Bacillota; Bacilli; Caryophanales; Staphylococcaceae. The record is from RNAcentral.
UUUUAUGGAGAGUUUGAUCCUGGCUCAGGAUGAACGCUGGCGGCGUGCCUAAUACAUGCAAGUCGAGCGAACGGACGAGAAGCUUGCUUCUCUGAUGUUAGCGGCGGACGGGUGAGUAACACGUGGAUAACCUACCUAUAAGACUGGGAUAACUUCGGGAAACCGUAGCUAAUACCGGAUAAUAUUUUGAACCGCAUGGUUCAAAAGUGAAAGACGGUCUUGCUGUCACUUAUAGAUGGAUCCGCGCUGCAUUAGCUAGUUGGUAAGGUAACGGCUUACCAAGGCAACGAUGCAUAGCCGACCUGA